AUGUCCCACGCGUACACUGCGGUUCCUCCGCGCCGCCCACGCCCACCUGACGAUUGCUCACUACGUCUUGUUGGCC
Molecule: small RNA, 76 nt
Filed under: Xanthomonas pisi
Lineage: Bacteria; Pseudomonadati; Pseudomonadota; Gammaproteobacteria; Lysobacterales; Lysobacteraceae
Also listed under: 1 other name
Description: sX9 sRNA
Rfam family: Xanthomonas sRNA sX9
Source: RNAcentral